RNAcentral lists this ribosomal RNA (165 nucleotides) under uncultured eukaryote. Its description in RNAcentral is "partial small subunit ribosomal RNA". It matches the Rfam family "Eukaryotic small subunit ribosomal RNA", at positions 1662 to 1828 of the family's 1831-position model. The record is from RNAcentral.
GUACACACCGCCCGUCGCUGUCCGGAACUGAGCUGUUUCGAGAAGACUGAGGACCGAUGUGCGGAGACUUCGGUUUCUGUACAAUGGAAAUCAGUUUAAUCGCAAUGGCUUGAACCGGGCAAAAGUCGUAACAAGGUACCUGUAGGUGAACCUGCAGAAGGAUCA